GCGCGCUGCCGGGAUGGCGCCGGGUCCGCCCCGCCCGCUCUCCUCCCUCUCCAGGAGCGGGCGGGAAGGAAAGGGUUACGGGAACGAGGUGUUGGACGCCGCCGAGUUUCGUCACCGGGGGGCAAAGCCAGGAGUUCUUGGGACGCCGUUUCCGCCGUUUCCGGAUCCCCCAACCGUUGUCUCCUGGCGCCCGGCUCGCCGAGUCUCCCUCUCCACGCUGCAGGGCCCGCCGGCGAAACCGGGAACGGCAUGCAGGCUUGAAAAAAAGGCAACGGGAAAAAGAAUCAGAGAGGCGUAGGAGGGCUAAAAAAUUCAUAACUCGAUAAGCCCACAAGCAAUCAUUACUAUUUAUCAAGAGGAAAGGAGAAAACCCAGACAAUCGUAAUGCAAAUCAGUCACAAACCCCGGUGCACUUACCGCAUGAAUAUUGUAACUCAACGAUUCCACACCAGAAAGUCUCCAAACCCAUCACCAGGCAUUAAGGCAUUUCUGUUUGACUAUCCAGGGCGUAUUGCCAGCUUAAGUUUUGGAUAGGGUUCACUUCCCCAUGCCCCCACCACCAUGCCAGACCGGCAGAGCGCUUGCCUCUCCCUGAAGCACAAACACCUCGCUUAGCUGAGAAAUCCCAGCAGGAGCAGCUCUGUCAAACAGGAGGACUUACUUCCAGGGCAUAGAUUUUUGCUCCCUCAAACACAAAACCACCACAUGACUCACCUUUGCCAGGAAGGAUAUCAGAAGCACUGUACACGAAAACAUAGCUCUAGGUCAGGCUCUGGACAGACUGCCUCGAUGGUCUCACAAGUGCUCCUCAGACCAAAACCACAAAGGCUCUUCAUGGACAAUGAAAAUCCCACUCCAGUCCUAAGUCAGGGACUUCAAACUGAAGUGGGCUUUAUUCAACAAAAAAGGUAACAUAAAUUAAGCCCAACAUUGGAGGGAGACCUGGAAUCCUACAGCUCCAUUCAUACAGAAAUAAGAAAGAUUACCAAGUCCUUUUAGAAAAGGAAUUUGAAGUUCCUCCUGCCUUACCCCCAAUACUUAAGGAUAAAACCCAUCUCUAGCAACCACCCUGGUUGCAGUAUCAGGCCACCAAGAGGUUCAGGGAACAAGAGCAAAUACCCUGUUAGGAUGAGAGGACUGUGUCUGUUCGGACUGAAAAAAAAAACCAAAAAAAACCUGGCCAUGGGUAGGAAGGACACCCAAUGCCUGCAAAGUAAAAUGUCUUCUUUUUUUUAGGACUCACAUUGGCAUUUGAUUGUUUUUAAACAACUGAAUAAAGCUCUUUGCAGACCUCCUACACAGCAGGAGGUCAAGAGGUAGUAGUCAUCACUUAAAGCAGGGGAGGUUCUGACACAGCCCAAGAAAAGCCUUUUUGAUUGUGAACAUGGCCAAGCAGUGGAGGAGGUUUUCCAGACAGGCUGUGCGGUCUCUAGCCUUUCAUGAAAUUCCAUGGGAUAAAGACCUCAGUAAGCUACUCAGAGCUCACAGCCUGACCCUGCUUUGAGCUAGAGACUGGACUAGACAAACUCCCCAGGUCCCUUCUAAUCUGAGGGGCUCUAUGAACUGCUGAGUUCAGUGCAACCUUCUGGCAGUCCCUCUUCACAGAUGAUUCAGGAGAAGCACAGUAUGCUUACCAGGAGGGACAAGGCCUCUGUUUCUCUUUUGAGUUUUGUUUGGGGCUUUUUUUUAAAAUUUUUUGGGGGGUAUGGUUGUGUUUUGGGGUGUUUUUUUGUUUGAUUUUUUUUUUCCUGUGGAAAUUAAGAUUAAAUAAAAUAUGAAGAGACAACUCUCUUCAAAUUAC
Cyanistes caeruleus (blue tit) is the source of this 1801-nucleotide RNA transcript. RefSeq lists it as uncharacterized. The record is from RefSeq and is a predicted model, not a curated record. Lineage: Eukaryota; Metazoa; Chordata; Aves; Passeriformes; Paridae.